AUAGUUAAUGUUAAGUUUAUAAAUUAUCUUCAUUUUAUAAUCAUCAAUCACGACCUCAUAUCAAGUGAGAUUACCCGCUGAAUUUAAGCAUAUUAAUAAGCGGAGGAAAAGAAACUAACAAUGAUUCCUUUAAGUAACGGCGAGUGAAGAAGGAAUAGCUCAAAUUUAAAAUCAUGAAUCUUUGGUUUAUGAAUUGUAGUUUAGAAGUUGGAUUCGUUUUCAAUAAUAUACUUAAAUCCUUUGGAAAAAGGUAUCAUAGAAGGUGAAAAUCCUGUUUAUAGUAUAUUAAUUGAGGAACAUAUGUAUCUGAUUUCAAGAGUCGGGUUGUUUGGGAAUGCAACCUAAAAUGGGUGGUAAAUCUCAUCUAAAAGCUAAAUAUUGAUAGGAGACCGAUAGCAAACAAGUACCGUGAGG
Molecule: ribosomal RNA, 414 nt
Filed under: uncultured eukaryote
Lineage: Eukaryota
Description: eukaryotic LSU rRNA
Rfam family: Eukaryotic large subunit ribosomal RNA (bases 51-414)
Source: RNAcentral